Molecule: long non-coding RNA, 820 nt
Organism: Astyanax mexicanus (Mexican tetra)
Lineage: Eukaryota; Metazoa; Chordata; Actinopteri; Characiformes; Acestrorhamphidae
Exons: 6
Source: RefSeq, a predicted model, not a curated record
CCUUGGGUUGGGUUUGGGCAGAGAACCUAAGCUCUUAUUCACAUAUUGAACUUUGUGUUAUUGUGUUCUCAGUGACAUGUUGAACUACACUGCCAGUUUGAGGGAAUGUCAUUGCCAUCCACUGCAAAGGAGGCAAAGGGCGCACGGGUACGAUGGUGUGUACAUGGUUGAUUGACAGCGUUUAGUUUGAGAGUGCGCAGGUGUGGGAAAGGGCAAUGGCAGUGAUCUGAAGGUGCGGAUCAUAGUGAAAAGAGAGCAGGUGUUCCAGUGUGUCUGUGCCACGCAGACGAACUGUAGGCUGUUCCCAGAUACUGAAAACAAUGCCGUGGUGAUCAGCUUUCAGGAAGGGCCAGUGGUUUGUGGUGAUGUUAAGGUCAUGUUUGAAUCCAGGGCUGGUCUUCCAAAGGGGUAUGAGGACUAUCCUUUCUAUUUCUGGUUCAACACUUCAUUUGUAGAGAACAACAGGCUCUAUCUGUCAAGGGAGGAACUGGACAACCCACGUAAGUCCAAAACCUGGGACAUCUACAAGGAGGACUUUGGUGUGACCGUGUCUUUCAGUGACCCUGCACUUAUGUAGCAGACGACACUUGCUUGUGUAUCUCAACUAAAACCCUUAAGCCCUGCACAAGGUCUAAAUCUUUGCUCUAAUGUAGGUUUUCACACACUUAUAAAAGGUGAGUGAUGUUUAGGGAUUGGAUUCGGGCUAUAUAACCUCAACUUUAUGUCCAUCCCCCAUCUUCACUGUAAGAGCUUUUUACUGAGCCGUGCGUUACACCACAAUAUUAUGCAUUUGUUUGUCAAAUGUUUUUUUUGUCUUUAA